AUUCCGUAGGUGAACCUGCGGAAGGAUCAUUAAAGAACGCCCCGUUUUUUGAAAUGGGUAAUUCUAAACCGUGUAUACAUACCUUUGUUGCUUUGGCAGGCCGCCCCUCAGGGCGUCGGCUCCGGCUGACUGCGCCUGCCAGAGGACCCAAACUCUUUUGUUUAGUGAUGUCUGAGUACUAUAUAAUAGUUAAAACUUUCAACAACGGAUCUCUUGGUUCUG
Molecule: unclassified non-coding RNA, 222 nt
Filed under: plant metagenome
Description: partial contains small subunit ribosomal RNA, internal transcribed spacer 1, and 5.8S ribosomal RNA
Source: RNAcentral